GCUGGUAGGGAGACAGCAUGCCACUGGAAAAAUUCGUAGACAUGGAAUUCCUGGAUCAAAUGGAGGAGAUGGAAGAUUGAGAGCAGAGUGCAAGAAUGGGAAGAGGGCUUCGUGCCCUGUGCACGUUUGCCACCUAGUGACCAAACUGAAUGGUGUGCUUCUCACCUCAGCCUGAUAGCCUGACCUUGACUCCUGAGUUCCACGAUCGCUUCACAACUGCAAGUCACCAUCAUACAAAAUUUGAGUUUCCCUAAGUCCGCGCCUUUGAGAGCUUUGGAACGAUAUGCAAGUUCAAGUCACCAUCCUGUUUCUUGCUACCUCCUGUGAGAAGACCAACAUUUGGGUUACUUGUUUCUACUCUUGUUCUUCUGCUUGUUAUUGUUGCCUCUGCAGCCAUUGAUCACACACGUGUUGUCAUACAAAAACUGGUUAGCCUUUUUAUUUGUCUUGUGAAUUUUAUCAUUUGGUUCUUAAGUAUUACAAAUUAAUAUUGUGUACUCUCAUUGAUAUACAACUUUCAGUCAUUGUAAAUAUGCGUGAGUUAGGGGUGAGAAUGGCAUGCAAGCAAAAGAACAAGGAGAGGGAUGAUAGAGAUGCAAGAAGAGUAAAGAGGGCAAGAAAGUUUAUGUUAAUAGCGAACACAAUGAAAGUUCUUUAAAUGCUUGAUAAUGGUGAAAGCAACACUUCCUAGGGCAUAUUUUUGGUGUUAAUGAACCUACACAUCAUACAAUAAAGAAAAUUGAG
RNAcentral lists this long non-coding RNA (744 nucleotides) under Pan troglodytes (chimpanzee). RNAcentral's name for it is "lincRNA". Lineage: Eukaryota; Metazoa; Chordata; Mammalia; Primates; Hominidae. The record is from RNAcentral.